This 424-nucleotide ribosomal RNA is filed under the name uncultured bacterium. RNAcentral describes it as "bacterial SSU rRNA". It matches the Rfam family "Bacterial small subunit ribosomal RNA", at positions 359 to 775 of the family's 1533-position model. The record is from RNAcentral.
GAAUAUUGGACAAUGGGCGAAAGCCUGAUCCAGCCAUGCCGCGUGUGUGAAGAAGGUCUUCGGAUUGUAAAGCACUUUAAGUUGGGAGGAAGGGCAGUAAGCGAAUACCUUGCUGUUUUGACGUUACCGACAGAAUAAGCACCGGCUAACUCUGUGCCAGCAGCCGCGGUAAUACAGAGGGUGCAAGCGUUAAUCGGAAUUACUGGGCGUAAAGCGCGCGUAGGUGGUUCGUUAAGUUGGAUGUGAAAUCCCCGGGCUCAACCUGGGAACUGCAUCCAAAACUGGCGAGCUAGAGUAGGGCAGAGGGUGGUGGAAUUUCCUGUGUAGCGGUGAAAUGCGUAGAGAUCUGGAGGAAUACCGAUGGCGAAGGCAGCCGUCUGGCCUAAUACUGACACUGAGGUGCGAAAGCAUGGGGAGCAAACAG